CUCACAUCAAUCUUGGAGUGCCCAUAGCAGAAUAAGUGAUCAUACUUCGUGGUUAGGCAAUGUAGCUAGAGUUUGACUCUCCAAAGUUCUUUUAUGAACUGAGAUGGAACUCAGAAAGCAGAUGAAGAUGCUGGCUGCUGAGUUUUCCUGGAGUAGGUUGGGAGGUCAUUUAAGCAGAUAAACCACCCAAGUAGGAAGUCACAGAGGCCUGGAAUGAAACUAAGUCUUCCAGGGAGCACCAUCUUGCUUUGACAAUACUGGAAGUAAACAGAUGAUGAGUUUAAUUGGUCACUGAUUUCAGACUUAAUUCUCAGUAGUAUUAUGCCCCAUAAACCUAUAGUGAGACUACUUCUCUUUCUCUCUCUCUCUCUGUCUAUAUAUAUAUAUAUAUUAUAUAUAUAUACACACAUAUAUAUAUAGUGUUUAUGUAUACAUAUAAACAGAUUUUAAGAUUGGAAGAAUGUUUUCAAAGAUUAGUUUCUGGCUCUGAAUAUUUUAUACAUUUUUUUCUCUCCACCACUACCCACCAAAUACUUCUAGUUUCUGAUGCCAUAAAACAUCUUUAUUUUAUAAUAAGUCCCUUUGCUUUGUAUCUUUGUAUCAUGAGUAGAGUGAGUUGCUACUGGAACAGUAAAAGUAGUUCUGGGAAGCCAUUCCUACAAUGGGAAACAACUCUAUCCACGGAGAAUGAAAAAAACCAGGGCGAGGUAACCGCCCACCCAGGAGCA
This 728-nucleotide long non-coding RNA is filed under the name Homo sapiens (human). RNAcentral's name for it is "non-protein coding lnc-METTL25-6:2". Lineage: Eukaryota; Metazoa; Chordata; Mammalia; Primates; Hominidae. The record is from RNAcentral.